Molecule: ribosomal RNA, 460 nt
Filed under: uncultured bacterium
Lineage: Bacteria
Description: partial 16S ribosomal RNA
Rfam family: Bacterial small subunit ribosomal RNA
Source: RNAcentral
CCUACGGGAGGCAGCAGUGAGGAAUAUUGGUCAAUGGGCUUACGCCUGAACCAGCAAAGUCGCGUGAGGGAAGACUGCCCUAUGGGUUGUAAACCUCUUUUGUCAGGGAGAAACGCCGGCUACGUGUAGCCGGACUGAGAGUACCUGAAGAAAAAGCAUCGGCUAACUUCGUGCCAGCGGCCGCGGUAAUACGGAGGAUGCGAGCGUUGUCCGGAUUUAUUGGGUUAAAAGGGUGCGUAGGCGGAAUGCCAAGUCAGCGGUAAAAUCGCGGGGCUCAACCUCGCUCCGCCGUUGAAACUGGCGUUCUUGAGUGCGCGAGAGGUAUGCGGAAUGCGUGGUGUAGCGGUGAAAUGCAUAGAUAUCACGCAGAACUCCGAUUGCGAAGGCAGCAUACCGGCGCCCAACUGACGCUGAAGCACGAAAGCGUGGGUAUCGAACAGGAUUAGAUACCCCUGUAGUC